CACCCUUACAGAAAACCGCAGCCAAAUAACACUAGACCCUACUCAUAGACCUCAUAGUGUUGUGUUCCUGCCAGUGAGUAAGGUUGCCAGAGCUCAACGAAGGUGCGGAUGUUAGGGCCGGCAACGCGCAUGUAACACCUCUGGAGUUGCAGGCGUUUAUAGGCUACGGAGACUGCUUAGCACCAGGUGGGCCGUAUGCUUGUUUGCCACCAACUUAAGAUAAAAAAAUAA
Cydia splendana is the source of this 231-nucleotide long non-coding RNA. RefSeq lists it as uncharacterized. NCBI's taxonomy places the organism in Eukaryota, Metazoa, Arthropoda, Insecta, Lepidoptera, Tortricidae. The record is from RefSeq and is a predicted model, not a curated record. The transcript has 2 exons.